Long non-coding RNA from Melitaea cinxia (Glanville fritillary), 1627 nucleotides. RefSeq lists it as uncharacterized. The transcript has 3 exons. The record is from RefSeq and is a predicted model, not a curated record. NCBI's taxonomy places the organism in Eukaryota, Metazoa, Arthropoda, Insecta, Lepidoptera, Nymphalidae.
UGUUAUAAAUCAAAAGAAGUAUUAAAAACUUUCAAUUUCGCGUUAGGUAGUCUAAAAUUUAGUAACUAAAACUAAUUAAAAAGGAAACGAAUAUUUCCGUCGAGUAUCAAGUUAGCAACAGCGAUUGUUUCAAAAUGUUCGAUAAAACAAUAGCUUUUGUUUUAGUACUUCGUCAACGGGCUUGGGAAAUAUCGUACCUAGCAACUGAUGUGAGGCAGAUAAAAGACUAGUAUAAAAAGCGUAUAAAACAAGCACUUAAUGCACAAGUAUUCUUAUUGUACUUCCUUCCGUUAUUGCAUCAGCCUUCUAGAACUUUCUACAAUUUCUUUAUGGACUUUCUUGUGCCUGUUUAGUAUAUUAUUUUUAAAGGUUUUAAUGUAAUAUUUCAGUGUAUUUGUUUUUAUUUAUUAAUUAUAGCGGAAACAGUAAGUUUUUGUUUUUUUUAUACUGUCAAAUUUUACAUUGACAGCAUUAAAUAUCAUAUAAAAUAAUAAUAAUCAUAUUAAAAUCUACUUAUAAACAACAAAGUUUAAUGUUAGAUUUUUUUUUAUGUUUGAAGAUAUGAAAUUUAGAUUAAACUUUUUAUCUAUAAAAUGAAUAUAAAAACAGAUAAGUAGCUAACUUACGAAAAAAAAAAAAACAUUAUUGAUUGCAGACAACGAACAAUCUUAUUGUUUAAAAUAAUCUCAGAUAGCUAUCAUCACUUGCGUAAUUGAAGUAACGAUCAGUCUAAGGUACUGUGAAUAAAAAAGAUAAAACUCGUACAAAACAAAAAGAAAGUCGAGUUACCAAGCGCUGCCGGCCGGCGUAUUGGCCUUGAAUUGUGACUCAUUACGAUCACUAAUAUCGUGAGUUCGUGACCAGAAAAAAUUGAACACCGCUAAAUCGAACUGAAUAAAUAUCCCUUAUCAAUUUCUGACCAAUUUCGAGUCUUAAAAAAAAAUCUUGCAGUACCGAUAAGAUAUGUCGAUAUUUUACAAAAUCAGAUCUUUCGAUGUUUUCCAAAUACUUAAUAAAACUACAGUACCAUUCAGUAAUUAUUAAUUUGACAUAAAUAUUUUUUUUCUUGUCCACACCAAUUACGUAUUUUUUAAAUAUCUAGUCGAUUGAAAAACGCAAUUACUAUCAAGACUAGUUUCUCGAAGUAUAAAAGUUAUAACCAGUUUGACUAGUAACUUCGAUCCCGCAAGUGCAAUCGUGUCCAGACAUGUUUCCGAACUUGUCAUCAAAUACCGUAAUGACGCGAUAUUUCUACGAGAAUCGGUAAGUUAAUAAAGAACUCUAUGAGACGAAAUUUAUUUUUACAGAUGUCAUACAUAGCCUAUGGGGCUGUGAUUAAAAAGAUAAAAAUAUACUUUGAAUUAAUAUGUGAGUAGUCAGAUAGGUAAUUAACGCCCUUAAAAGUCUUCAUUAUUGUUCGAAAUUAAUUGAAAUAUUGUAGAAGACCGAUAAAAUUAAUGAUAGAAAUACAAUCGAACUUAAAAAUUCGAUAAUCUGUUCAUUUUGACUAAAGUCACUUCAGAAUAAUUUUUUAUUCGCGUACAGUUUGGUGAUUGUAUGAAAAACUACAUUGUGAUUUACUUACAAAAAAACAAGUUUACUGUUGCAAUAAAAGACGUCACUCAAA